AACCUAGCACACCUGCGGUGUGUACCUGCGGAGGGAUCAUUAAAAAAAUCCUUUUUGCCCGCGGACUUUGCUCCAAGGCGCAAAAAACCCACACUGUGUGCACCGUUAUCGUUUCUUUGGCAGGGGCUUGGGGUUGGUUUUUUCCGCCUCAACUUCUCCUCCGGUUCUAUCUCUUUUUUUGGGACAGCUGGACAUGGGAAGCAGUUACCCUGCCAAGUAACCCUUUAAAAUCACGCUUUU
Molecule: unclassified non-coding RNA, 240 nt
Filed under: soil metagenome
Description: partial contains 5.8S ribosomal RNA, internal transcribed spacer 2, and large subunit ribosomal RNA
Source: RNAcentral